UUUAACCGCCAUGGAAACUUCUAGAACGUGAGGCAGGUACUCUUCCAGAACCUUCGCUUUGUGCUUUUUAUGGAAGACCAAUUCGAUGUAUCGAACGUCUGAUCUCACCCUGGAAUUGAACUCGUCGUGGUUGAUUCCGGCGAAUUGAUCGGCGAUUUCUUCGUUACCGCCGACGGUGACGUUGAUUUUCUUCUCGUUUUCCGCAAGCGAGGCUUGGAGCCGCGCCGUCGCAGGGCUUUUGAUGGUGCUGAUGUAGAGCUCCGCCACCUCGAACAGGUGGUUCCGUUUGAGUCCGUCGACUUCGUCGAUGGUUAGGGUUAUGUCGUUGGCGAAUGUGGAGAGGAAAUUCUGGAAUUUCGAGAGGAGAUAGUGGCGGAGCUCGUGGGGGACGAAAUCGCUGGCGAAUGACCGGACGAGCACCGCCGUGGCAGCCACCGACGCCGCCGUGGACACGGCGGCUUUGACCGACGGGAAACGGAAUUUCUGAUACAUUGCGGAGCAAGUUCUGUCGGAGUAGAGCCUGACUCGUCGUUAAAUCCACGCCGUUGGUGACGUGGGGUCCAUGGUGGACGGUCGUGAUCGACUCUCGGGAUCUAGAAGAAGGAGACCUCUUUACUAUUGUUUAAAAAUUAGGGUUGUACUAUUAAAAUUG
Long non-coding RNA from Andrographis paniculata, 652 nucleotides. RefSeq lists it as uncharacterized. The record is from RefSeq and is a predicted model, not a curated record. The transcript has 3 exons. NCBI's taxonomy places the organism in Eukaryota, Viridiplantae, Streptophyta, Magnoliopsida, Lamiales, Acanthaceae.